UUAAACAGGUAACGUUUGACCACGCAGCUGUUUCUAUUCAAUGUACAUACAGAGAUUGUAAUUUAAGCAUAGACCGUGAGUGUAUUGUGGAUAACAUAGAUUCUAAAAGACAUUUUGAGGAUUUUUAUGUGGUGUUUAUAGGCCCCGGCGAUGAUACUAGAGAGCAGGAUCCCCACGGUGAUGAACAGCUGGUUGACGGUGACGAGAGAGCCCCGGAUGUGAGAGGGAGCUGCUUCAGCAACGUAAACAGCACCAACAAUUAGACGUCCGAUCAACAGAAUCUCCUUCUUGUCCACAGGAGAGACCGCCAUUAGUAUGGCUCCGGCGGUGAAGAUGAAGCUAGCCAUCAUGAUGACCUUCUUUCUGCCAAUCUUGUCCACCAGGACGC
Long non-coding RNA from Magallana angulata, 388 nucleotides. RefSeq lists it as uncharacterized. The record is from RefSeq and is a predicted model, not a curated record. NCBI's taxonomy places the organism in Eukaryota, Metazoa, Mollusca, Bivalvia, Ostreida, Ostreidae. The transcript is spliced from 3 exons.